AACUUUCUCACUAAAAAAGAUGAUUACACAUUUAUUUGAUAUCAAAAUUCCUGUCAGUGAUAUCAAUAUUGAUCAAUAGUUCUUCUGUUUACCUCAUUGAACUUAAAAUGAAUUGUUAUUCUCCCUUAUCUGCCAUUUGUCUUUUAGAGAAAGAGGCGCUCUCAUUUAAAAAGAUAAGUAAUAAUACAUUUAUUCUACAUUAUUCAAUAACACAAUAUGUAUAAUAUAAUCAAUCUUUCUUUGCUUUGAUUACUGUAAUUAUUAACUGUUUUUCCCUUUUGUCUUCCAUUUAUCUUUUACAGUGAGGAGAACCAUCUCAUUUACAAAGAUAAGUUUAUAUCUAUUAUGUUUUUAUGACAAUUUCCAUUUUUAUCAAUUUGUUUAUAUCAUUGAUACAAGUAUUAUGAAAUAAUUCACUAUCGUCUCCUCUUUCCCGCCAUUUUCCUUUUAGAGAGAAGAGAAAACAAGUCCAGACCAGGAGCAAACAAGAGAUGAGAAAAGGAAACAGCGCGCAAAGUGAACCAUCUCAUCAACAAAGAUACGUAGAGAAGAAGAAACGAGUCCAGACCAGGAGGAGAGGAAACAAGAGAUGAGCAAAGGCAUCGUUCACUGUGAAGCCUUUCAUCUAAUAAUGAUGAUGAUCAGCUCCAGAUGUUUCAUCUGCAGCAGCACGAUCCCUUUGUCACCAUCUGUACUCGAGAGAGAGAGGAAACAAGGAAGAAAUAUUACAGACAAGACAAGAGGACUGUGAUAAAUACAGAAGAACCAAGAUGAGAUGAGACAAGGGGAGAAGAGAGAAGACAGCAUACACUGAACCAUCUUAUUGAAAAGGGAGGACAAGCAGCUCCAGAUGUGUCCUCAUCUGCAGCAGCAGCAUCACAGCUUGUUGUCCUGAAGAUCCUCCUGUCUGUCAUCACACACACAUCCAGCUGGAACACAAGACUCACAAAGUGCUACAGCUACAUUUGUCAUCUUUUACAUCCUCAAGAAGAAUUUAAUUGUCUUUAUUAAAGGAUGACAUAAUGUUGUUUCAUCUUUUUAACAACAAAUCCCAUUAAAGACGUGAAUCAACACUGAA
This is a long non-coding RNA of Seriola aureovittata, 1078 nucleotides long. RefSeq lists it as uncharacterized. Lineage: Eukaryota; Metazoa; Chordata; Actinopteri; Carangiformes; Carangidae. The transcript has 5 exons. The record is from RefSeq and is a predicted model, not a curated record.